RNAcentral lists this ribosomal RNA (497 nucleotides) under uncultured bacterium. RNAcentral's name for it is "partial 16S ribosomal RNA". It matches the Rfam family "Bacterial small subunit ribosomal RNA", at positions 28 to 507 of the family's 1533-position model. The record is from RNAcentral.
GAUGAACGCUGGCGGCGUGCCUAAUACAUGCAAGUCGAGCGAACAGAUAAGGAGCUUGCUCCUUUGACGUUAGCGGCGGACGGGUGAGUAACACGUGGGUAACCUACCUAUAAGACUGGGAUAACUUCGGGAAACCGGAGCUAAUACCGGAUAACAUUUGGAACCGCAUGGUUCUAAAGUGAAAGAUGGUUUUGCUAUCACUUACAGAUGGACCCGCGCCGUAUUAGCUAGUUGGUAAGGUAACGGCUUACCAAGGCAACGAUACGUAGCCGACCUGAGAGGGUGAUCGGCCACACUGGAACUGAGACACGGUCCAGACUCCUACGGGAGGCAGCAGUAGGGAAUCUUCCGCAAUGGGCGAAAGCCUGACGGAGCAACGCCGCGUGAGUGAUGAAGGGUUUCGGCUCGUAAAACUCUGUUAUUAGGGAAGAACAAACGUGUAAGUAACUGUGCACGUCUUGACGGUACCUAAUCAGAAAGCCACGGCUAACUACGUG